CAGGGAAUCUUGCGCAAUGGGCGAAAGCCUGACGCAGCGACACCGCGUGGGGGAAGAAGGCUUUCGGGUUGUAAACCCCUUUUCUCGGGGAAGAGUAAGGACGGUACCCGAGGAAUAAGCCUCGGCUAACUACGUGCCAGCAGCCGCGGUAAGACGUAGGAGGCGAGCGUUGUCCGGAUUUACUGGGCGUAAAGGGCGAGUAGGCGGCCCGCCAAGUCUCAUGUGAAAUCUCUCGGCUCAACUGGGAGGGGUCAUGGGAAACUGGUGGGCUCGAGGGCAGUAGAGGAGAGUGGAAUUCCCGGAGUAGCGGUGAAAUGCGUAGAUACCGGGAGGAACACCCGAGGCGAAGGCGACUCUCUGGGCUGCACCUGACGCUGAGGCGCGAGAGCAUGGGGAGCGAACCGG
This 405-nucleotide ribosomal RNA is filed under the name uncultured Chloroflexota bacterium. RNAcentral describes it as "bacterial SSU rRNA". It matches the Rfam family "Bacterial small subunit ribosomal RNA", at positions 355 to 776 of the family's 1533-position model. RNAcentral also lists the same sequence under 1 other name. Lineage: Bacteria; Bacillati; Chloroflexota. The record is from RNAcentral.